Molecule: transfer RNA, 90 nt
Filed under: Legionella sp.
Lineage: Bacteria; Pseudomonadati; Pseudomonadota; Gammaproteobacteria; Legionellales; Legionellaceae
Description: tRNA-Tyr
Source: RNAcentral
GAGAGUGCGGUCGCGAUGGCGGUGCGACGACGGUCUGUAAAACCGUUCCUUAUAGGUAACAAUUUGGUUCGAAUCCAUCCACUCUCACCA